This is a long non-coding RNA of Nicotiana tabacum (common tobacco), 1722 nucleotides long. RefSeq lists it as uncharacterized. NCBI's taxonomy places the organism in Eukaryota, Viridiplantae, Streptophyta, Magnoliopsida, Solanales, Solanaceae. The record is from RefSeq and is a predicted model, not a curated record.
CCCAAACCCUAACCUAAUUUUGAAGCUUCAUCUGCCGACCCUCCCUUUCCCUCAAGACCAAGCUCGCAUCUCUCUUUCUCAAAAAAUACGCCCAGCACCUCACCGUCCAGCAGCUGCCUGGACUCAGCCGCAUCAAGAGACGAGAAAUAAAAGUACUUGAUCAUCUCUCUCAAACACACACGCACAUAGAUAGAGAAACGGAGAGAGGACAGAAAAUUGAGAGGAGAAAAGUUUAUGAAAAAUUAUGGUUUAGUUUUAGUGUUCAUCCUUCACUGAUUUUUAUUGGAAAAGAGAAGUACAAAAAAAAGAAGAAAAAGAACGGACCCUCCCCUCCCAUAGACGAACCCUAGCAGCGACGCCUCACCUCUCCAUCAACUCCGACCAGACCCUCCGAUCCCAUACCCAAAAACCUUGCUGCUUACUCUCACUCUUUCACUCACGUUUUUGAGCACACAUACACACAAAAAAAGCACUUAGCAACAAACGAAAAAAAAAAAGAAAAAAAAAUCGAAGUUCUGGUUUUAAAAGAGGCGAUUUAGCCUCAAGCCACUGCUCGGUUCAACUGUUUAUUGCCGGAUUUAUGCUGCUGAGCUCCAACCAGCUGUGUUCUCUUUAUUUGGUUUAAAUUUGGUCCUUGCACCAUUGGCCGAGGUGCUUGUCACCCGGUGAAGAAUUUUAGUUACACAUAUUUUAGGCGGGGAGCACCAUCAGCUAAGCUGAAAAGCAAUGCUACCGGUAUCAGACUCAAGAUCAAGUUUCAGAAGACUUAGAGAUAGGAACCUUGUAACUCACAGCUGAUAGGCUUGUUUAGUUUUUUUUCAUUUUAAUUAUGGUGUAAUAAGGAGUUCAGCAAGCAGCAAUAAAAGUGAAAUCACAGUUUCCCGAUAAUCUCAGCUACCACAACUCCUUGAACUACACGCGACCUGAUUCCUUAUAACCCGGGAUAUGUAGGCUGCCCAAACCAGGACUCGGUUGUACUAUUUUCUCUUAUCUCUUCCCUUUUGAAUAACGGUAUGACCAAAAAUUAGUCAUAUCGCUCAUCUUUUCUUUGUAUGAAAACUCUACGUGUUUCCAAGCAAAGAGGCGCAUGUUGUGAGCACUUAAUUUUUGAUCAUGUUUGAAUUUUUCCCACUCAUCUCACCAAUACCUCACUUCUCACUCCACUUUCCCUUGCUCCCCAAUUUUUGUCCCCCCUCCCCUCCCCCANCCUCUCUUACAAAAACACAUCAUCUCCACAAUCCCAGAGGAGAAGAAGAACGGAUCAUCUCUCUUUACAAAAAACCAUAGCCGCCACCCUCUCAUUCUUCACACCCUCCAAUCCGCCUACACUCCUCACACUCGCCUCUCUCAACUCACUCAUAUAGACACACUCUAACACACUUAGCCAUCAUCCUUUACACUCUAAAGAAAAACACAACAUCAGAGAGAAACAAAAUAGUAGCUAAAAUAGCUUUCAGUUUUCCCUUUGUACGUUCCAAAAAUGAAACGAGUCCCCUUUGGUGUUUAGCUUCUAUUUUUUGUCUGUUGGCUCAAGCAUUAUCUGGGUUGUUGGAGUUUUUGAUAUUUGGUGCUGCUGGGGUAUUUGAUUUGAAUUGUUCUGCUGGCUUCUCAUCGUUAUUGCUCUAGCAUUUCAACAUUUAGGUAUUUCUUCUUCUGUUGUAGCUUUUGAAUUGUUUCAUAUGAAUGAAGAAUGUAUGGUUUUUGAGUCUUUAUUUGAAAUUA